Molecule: long non-coding RNA, 766 nt
Organism: Solea solea (common sole)
Lineage: Eukaryota; Metazoa; Chordata; Actinopteri; Pleuronectiformes; Soleidae
Exons: 3
Source: RefSeq, a predicted model, not a curated record
UUUGGAGUCAGUGUGGAGCGUUUGUUUGUCCCCGCUCGCUGGAGCCAGUUGGAGCCUGUUGGUGCCUGGCUGGUUCAUGAGGUGUCCAGGCCCCGCGGACCCCUCUGUCCCCGCGGACCCCGCCGGCUCCUGCCAGGGUUAGCAUGGCUAAUGCUAACUCGAUCUGUAGCAAACAAAAGUUUUAAGUUUUAUAAGUUUUAAGGAUUUCUUCUGUUUCCGGUGAUUGGAUUUCCUGUGAGUGUCGGGUUUCCAGGCUUCUGCAGAGCUGAUGAGCCGACCUGAAUCCAGGGUGCAAGAAAAAGGGAGAAUGGAGGGGAGAUGACACCGAAUGAGACGAGAGGAUGCAUCCUUGUCAAAGGAGACGGUCCUUACCUUCCCAGUGUCUCCUCCAGUGAGCAGCAGCUCCCACACUCUUCUUAUUAUGCCAUCAGAGGACAGCAAACAGCAGCAGAGACAAAGAGCUGCAGCUGCCGGCCCAUUAUUAUUAAAACCUCGCUGUUUACUCUGGAGUAGUGGCCACUGUUCUUCAUCCACCAAAAAUUAAUGAGAUCCUCUCUGCUAACAUUGACACUUUGAGAGAGCGGCGGGAAACCAAAAGGCUUUGAUGAGCUAAUAAGCUUUUAGUUACAGAGAAUCUCUUCAUUUAAGAGCGCACACAGCGUCUGUGGAGACGCAGCAGAGGUGAGAGAACAACACGAUCACACGCUGCAUGGAAAUGACUUUCAUUUCCUUCCUCCUGUCUUCAUCUCGUCAUGUGAUCCUACAU